Molecule: ribosomal RNA, 253 nt
Filed under: uncultured bacterium
Lineage: Bacteria
Description: partial 16S ribosomal RNA
Rfam family: Bacterial small subunit ribosomal RNA
Source: RNAcentral
UACGAAGGGGGCUAGCGUUGUUCGGAAUUACUGGGCGUAAAGCGAGUGUAGGUGGUUGUCCAAGUUGGAUGUGAAAGCCUUGAGCUCAACUCAAGAAAUGCAUUCAGGACUGGGCGGCUAGAGGACCGGAGAGGAUAGUGGAAUUCCCAGUGUAGUGGUGAAAUACGUAGAGAUUGGGAAGAACACCAGUGGCGAAGGCGGCUUCCUGGCCUGUUCUUGACGCUGAGGCGCGAAAGCUAGGGGAGCAAACGGG